ACCGGCGCACGGGUGAGUAACGCGUAUGCAACCUACCUUUUACAGGGGAAUAGCCCAGAGAAAUUUGGAUUAAUGCCCCUAGGUUUAUAGAUAUGGCAUCGUAUUUAUAAUAAAGAUUUAUCGGUAAAAGAUGGGCAUGCGUAUCAUUAGCUAGUUGGUGUGGUAACGGCAUACCAAGGCGACGAUGAUUAGGGGUCCUGAGAGGGAGAUCCCCCACACUGGUACUGAGACACGGACCAGACUCCUACGGGAGGCAGCAGUGAGGAAUAUUGGUCAAUGGAGGCAACUCUGAACCAGCCAUGCCGCGUGCAGGAUGACGGUCCUAUGGAUUGUAAACUGCUUUUGUACGGGAAGAAAUGUAUUUACGUGUAGAUAUUUGACGGUACCGUAAGAAUAAGGAUCGGCUAACUCCGUGCCAGCAGCCGCGGUAAUACGGAGGAUCCAAGCGUUAUCCGGAAUCAUUGGGUUUAAAGGGUUCGUAGGCGGUUUAAUAAGUCAGUGGUGAAAUCUUGCAGCUUAACUGUAAAAUGGCCAUUGAUACUGUUAGACUUGAAUUGUAUGGAAGUAACUAGAAUAUGUAGUGUAGCGGUGAAAUGCUUAGAUAUUACAUAGAAUACCAAUUGCGAAGGCAGGUUACUACAUACAUAUUGACGCUGAUGAACGAAAGCGUGGGGAGCGAACAGGAUUAGAUACCCUGGUAGUCCACGCCGUAAACGAUGGAUACUAGCUGUUUGGUUUUCGGACUGAGUGGCUAAGCGAAAGUGAUAAGUAUCCCACCUGGGGAGUACGUUCGCAAGAAUGAAACUCAAAGGAAUUGACGGGGGCCCGCACAAGCGGUGGAGCAUGUGGUUUAAUUCGAUGAUACGCGAGGAACCUUACCAGGGCUUAAAUGUAGAUUGACAGGUUUGGAAACAGACUUUUCUUCGGACAAUUUACAAGGUGCUGCAUGGUUGUCGUCAGCUCGUGCCGUGAGGUGUCAGGUUAAGUCCUAUAACGAGCGCAACCCCUAUUGUUAGUUGCCAGCGAGUCAUGUCGGGAACUCUAGCAAGACUGCCGGUGCAAACCGAGAGGAAGGUGGGGAUGACGUCAAAUCAUCACGGCCCUUACGUCCUGGGCUACACACGUGCUACAAUGGUCAGUACAGAAAGCAGCUACCUGGCGACAGGAUGCGAAUCUCAAAAGCUGAUCACAGUUCGGAUUGGAGUCUGCAACUCGACUCCAUGAAGCUGGAAUCGCUAGUAAUCGGAUAUCAGCCAUGAUCUAGAGAAUACGCUCCCGGGCCUUGUACACACCGCCCGUCAAGCCAUGGAAGCUGGGGGUACCAGAAGUCGGUCACC
RNAcentral lists this ribosomal RNA (1337 nucleotides) under Myroides sp. OTU s6b. RNAcentral's name for it is "bacterial SSU rRNA". It matches the Rfam family "Bacterial small subunit ribosomal RNA", at positions 94 to 1435 of the family's 1533-position model. The record is from RNAcentral. Lineage: Bacteria; Pseudomonadati; Bacteroidota; Flavobacteriia; Flavobacteriales; Flavobacteriaceae.